RNAcentral lists this ribosomal RNA (253 nucleotides) under uncultured bacterium. RNAcentral describes it as "partial 16S ribosomal RNA". It matches the Rfam family "Bacterial small subunit ribosomal RNA", at positions 524 to 776 of the family's 1533-position model. The record is from RNAcentral.
UACGUAGGUGGCAAGCGUUGUCCGGAAUUAUUGGGCGUAAAGCGCGCGCAGGCGGUCUUUUAAGUCUGAUGUGAAAGCCCACGGCUCAACCGUGGAGGGGCAUUGGAAACUGGGGGACUUGAGUACAGAAGAGAAGAGUGGAAUUCCACGUGUAGCGGUGAAAUGCGUAGAGAUGUGGAGGACCACCAGUGGCGAAGGCGACUUGCUGGAAUGUAACUGACGGUGAGGCACGAAAGCGGGGGGAGCAAACAGG